UGGGGAAUAUUGCACAAUGGGCGCAAGCCUGAUGCAGCCAUGCCGCGUGUAUGAAGAAGGCCUUCGGGUUGUAAAGUACUUUCAGCGAGGAGGAAGGCGUUGUGGUUAAUAACCGCAACGAUUGACGUUACUCGCAGAAGAAGCACCGGCUAACUCCGUGCCAGCAGCCGCGGAAAUACGGAGGGUGCAAGCGUUAAUCGGAAUUACUGGGCGUAAAGCGCACGCAGGCGGUCUGUCAAGUCGGAUGUGAAAUCCCCGGGCUCAACCUGGGAACUGCAUCCGAAACUGGCAGGCUAGAGUCUUGUAGAGGGGGGUAGAAUUCCAGGUGUAGCGGUGAAAUGCGUAGAGAUCUGGAGGAAUACCGGUGGCGAAGGCGGCCCCCUGGACAAAGACUGACGCUCAGGUGCGAAAGCGUGGGGAGCAAACA
RNAcentral lists this ribosomal RNA (427 nucleotides) under uncultured bacterium. Its description in RNAcentral is "partial 16S ribosomal RNA". It matches the Rfam family "Bacterial small subunit ribosomal RNA", at positions 355 to 774 of the family's 1533-position model. The record is from RNAcentral.